RNAcentral lists this unclassified non-coding RNA (356 nucleotides) under Hevea brasiliensis (rubber tree). Lineage: Eukaryota; Viridiplantae; Streptophyta; Magnoliopsida; Malpighiales; Euphorbiaceae. The record is from RNAcentral.
GUAGCAAUGAUUUUUUUUUUUUGGUAGUGAAAGGGUAAUAAAAUUCCUUACAGAUUAUUAGAUCUCCUACUUGUGAUGGGAAUUACUACUUUAAUACCAGGAAAUGUUGGGGCAAUCACUUGCGUGUGAAAUAAAAUUUUGGGGAAGUCCUUGUCCAUUAGUGCUCUUUGAAGGAUAAGAAAGCAGCACAGAAAGGAAAUUUGGAGUGUGGUGCUUUAUUUUUUUUUCUUUUUGGGGUAGCAAAAAGAAAAGAUUGGGUAAAAAUGCCAUUAUGAUGAGUGAUGAAACUAAUCCAAUCAUUUACUUGCACUCAUCUUCUGAAAGCAAAUUUUCAUGAUAUAACCCUUAACUUUUGC